CGGGUAGGCGGUCUGAGAAGUUGAUUGUGAAAUCUCCCGGCUAAACUGGGAGGGAGCAAACGAAACUAGCAGGCUAGAGGACAGCAGAGGGUCGUGGAAUUCCGGGUGGAGUGGUGAAAUGCGUAGAGAUCCGGAGGAACACCAGAGGCGAAAGCGGCGACCUGGGCUGUAGCUGACGCUGAACCGCGAAAGCCAGGGGAGCGAAC
This 206-nucleotide ribosomal RNA is filed under the name uncultured bacterium. RNAcentral describes it as "partial 16S ribosomal RNA". It matches the Rfam family "Bacterial small subunit ribosomal RNA", at positions 568 to 773 of the family's 1533-position model. The record is from RNAcentral.